UUUGCAUUUUCUCUAUCAGCGUUAAAUCUUGGAAGAACUCCUGCUUUAGAUUGUCCUUCAAAAUAUGUUUUUCCUGCAUAGAGAUGAAUGUAUAUAAAAUAUUAGGAACUUUGACUGCUGUUGCAAAUGGAUUCCAACGUUUCCACAAUAACCACCACCCAGACAAAGAAUCACCAUAGUUUGUUAAAUCGGUGUCAUCUUGUGAUCCAACAUCGAUAGCCAAAAUGUGAUGAGCUCCUUGCCUCAACAUUUCAUCAGCUUAAAUAAAAACAGACAAAAUUGAUUUUGAUAGUAUGUAAACAUAAUAAAAUAUAAGCAUCACUUUUAA
Long non-coding RNA from Vespula vulgaris, 328 nucleotides. RefSeq lists it as uncharacterized. The transcript has 2 exons. The record is from RefSeq and is a predicted model, not a curated record. Lineage: Eukaryota; Metazoa; Arthropoda; Insecta; Hymenoptera; Vespidae.